Molecule: long non-coding RNA, 442 nt
Organism: Uranotaenia lowii
Lineage: Eukaryota; Metazoa; Arthropoda; Insecta; Diptera; Culicidae
Exons: 3
Source: RefSeq, a predicted model, not a curated record
UUGGCUGCUGAAACAAAUUUGCAGCACGUUAAUUUUGGUUUCAACUCAGUUUUUCGGUCCCAAAUUCGGUGAUGUUUCUCUCAGGAACAUGUUUCCUUGCGGUGCGAUUCGUAGCAGCCAAGAAAUCUUCAGCACAAUGUACCAGUUGCGAUAUUCUGCAGCUUUCGGGGCACUUGACCCGGGUGAUGCGCUGUGUUUCGAUACGAUGCCCAGGUGUUUCUAUUGCAACUUUCAGCUCCAUAGAUUUGCAGUGGCACAUUCGAUAAGCACUGCAAACAUUCAGCUUGGUGACAUCAGCUGAGAUAUUGUUCAGAUGUUGCCGUCCAACGAUGCUACUUUGGCCCAAAGAUCUCGAAUGUACUUGGAUGAUCCGUCCAAAUUACCAUGUGUGCUGAUUCCGUGAUGUUUAGUCUCAUGGCAAAGAAACAUAAAAAUAAACCGC